AUUGAACGCUGGCGGUAUGCUUAACACAUGCAAGUCGAACGGCAGCAUGGUCUAGCUUGCUAGACUGAUGGCGAGUGGCGGACGGGUGAGUAACGCGUAGGAAUAUGCCUUGAAGAGUGGGACAACUUGGGGAAACCCAAGCUAAUACCGCAUGUACUCGAGAGAGUAAAGCUGGGGACCUUUAGGCCUGGCGCUUUAAGAUUAGCCUGCGUCCGAUUAGCUAGUUGGUAGGGUAAAGGCCUACCAAGGCGACGAUCGGUAGCUGGUCUGAGAGGAUGAUCAGCCACACUGGAACUGAGAGACGGUCCAGACUCCUGCGGGAGGCAGCAGUGGGGAAUAUUGGACAAUGGGGGGAACCCUGAUCCAGCAAUGCCGCGUGUGUGAAGAAGGCCUGAGGGUUGUAAAGCACUUUCAGUGGGGAGGAGGUUUGGAAGGUUAAGGGCUAUUCAAGUGGACGUUACCCACAGAAGAAGCACCGGCUAACUCCGUGCCAGCCGCCGCAGUAA
RNAcentral lists this ribosomal RNA (506 nucleotides) under uncultured bacterium. Its description in RNAcentral is "partial 16S ribosomal RNA". It matches the Rfam family "Bacterial small subunit ribosomal RNA", at positions 30 to 523 of the family's 1533-position model. The record is from RNAcentral.